This 78-nucleotide transfer RNA is filed under the name Frigoriflavimonas asaccharolytica. RNAcentral describes it as "Chryseobacterium sp. 16F tRNA-Val". It matches the Rfam family "tRNA". From Rfam's summary of the family: Transfer RNA (tRNA) molecules are approximately 80 nucleotides in length. The record is from RNAcentral. Lineage: Bacteria; Pseudomonadati; Bacteroidota; Flavobacteriia; Flavobacteriales; Weeksellaceae.
GGGUUUUUAGCUCAGUUGGUUCAGAGCAUCUCGUUUACACCGAGAGGGUCGGGGGUUCGAAUCCCUCAAGACCCACCA